GCUGCGGUUUCUUUAGAAACCACCAAAGCUCAUUCAAUAGUUGUAU
Molecule: non-coding RNA, 46 nt
Organism: Capsicum annuum
Lineage: Eukaryota; Viridiplantae; Streptophyta; Magnoliopsida; Solanales; Solanaceae
Source: Rfam